RNAcentral lists this ribosomal RNA (253 nucleotides) under uncultured bacterium. RNAcentral's name for it is "partial 16S ribosomal RNA". It matches the Rfam family "Bacterial small subunit ribosomal RNA", at positions 524 to 776 of the family's 1533-position model. The record is from RNAcentral.
UACAGAGGUCCCAAGCGUUGUUCGGAUUCACUGGGCGUAAAGGGUGCGUAGGCGGUUGGGCAAGUCUGUCGUGAAAUCUCCGAGCCCAACUCGGAAACUGCGUCGGAUACUAUUCAACUCGAGGAAUGGAGGGGAGACUGGAAUUCUCGGUGUAGCAGUGAAAUGCGUAGAUAUCGAGAGGAACACCAGUGGCGAAGGCGAGUCUCUGGACAUUUCCUGACGCUGAGGCACGAAAGCCAGGGGAGCAAACGGG